Molecule: ribosomal RNA, 440 nt
Filed under: uncultured bacterium
Lineage: Bacteria
Description: partial 16S ribosomal RNA
Rfam family: Bacterial small subunit ribosomal RNA
Source: RNAcentral
CCUACGGGAGGCAGCAGUAGGGAAUAUUGCUCAAUGGGGGAAACCCUGAAGCAGCAACGCCGCGUGGCGGAUGAAGGUUUUCGGAUUGUAAACUCCUUUUGUUAGAGAAGAUAAUGACGGUAUCUAACGAAUAAGCACCGGCUAACUCCGUGCCAGCAGCCGCGGUCAUACGGAGGGUGCAAGCGUUACUCGGAAUCACUGGGCGUAAAGAGCGCGUAGGCGGGAUAGCAAGUCAGAUGUGAAAUCCUAUGGCUUAACCAUAGAACUGCAUUUGAAACUGUUAUUCUAGAGUAUGGGAGAGGUAGGUGGAAUUCUUGGUGUAGGGGUAAAAUCCGUAGAGAUCAAGAGGAAUACUCAUUGCGAAGGCGACCUGCUAGAACAUAACUGACGCUGAUGCGCGAAAGCGUGGGGAGCAAACAGGAUUAGAUACCCCAGUAGUC